CAGCAGUCGCCGCGGUAAUACAGAGGGUGCGAGCGUUAAUCGGAUUUACUGGGCGUAAAGUGUGCGUAGGCGGCUUCUUAAGUCGGAUGUGAAAUCCCUGAGCUUAACUUAGGAAUUGCAUUCGAUACUGGGAAGCUAGAGUAUGGGAGAGGAUGGUAGAAUUCCAGGUGUAGCGGUGAAAUGCGUAGAGAUCUGGAGGAAUACCGAUGGCGAAGGCAGCCAUCUGCCUAAUACUGACGCUGAGGUACGAAAGCAUGGGGAGCAAACAGGAUUAGAUACCCCGGUAGUCCCUGUCUCUUAUACA
Molecule: ribosomal RNA, 304 nt
Filed under: uncultured bacterium
Lineage: Bacteria
Description: partial 16S ribosomal RNA
Rfam family: Bacterial small subunit ribosomal RNA
Source: RNAcentral